GAUGAAGAACGCAGCGAAAUGCGAUAAGUAGUGUGAAUUGCAGAAUUCAGUGAAUCAUCGAAUCUUUGAACGCACAUUGCGCCCCUUGGUAUUCCAUGGGGCAUGCCUGUUCGAGCGUCAUUUGUACCCUCAAGCUUUGCUUGGUGUUGGGUGUUUGUCCCGCCUCUGCGCGUGGACUCACCUCAAAUCCAUUGGCGGCCCCCGCGUCGGCCACGAGCGCAGCAGAAACGCGAACUCGUGAGCCCGUCCGGGCGGCUCCCAGAAGCUAACCCCCAAUUUUUGACCUCGGAUCAGGUAGGGAUACCCGCUGAACUUAAGCAUAUCAAUAAGCGGAGGA
This 337-nucleotide unclassified non-coding RNA is filed under the name soil metagenome. RNAcentral's name for it is "partial contains 5.8S ribosomal RNA, internal transcribed spacer 2, and large subunit ribosomal RNA". The stretch from base 1 to 120 matches the Rfam family "5.8S ribosomal RNA", at positions 35 to 154 of the family's 154-position model. The record is from RNAcentral.